UACGUAGGGGGCAAGCGUUGUCCGGAAUUAUUGGGCGUAAAGCGCGCGCAGGCGGUUCUUUAAGUCUGGUGUCUAAGUGCGGGGCUCAACCCCGUGUCGCACUGGAAACUGGGGAACUUGAGUGCAGAAGAGGAGAGCGGAAUUCCACGUGUAGCGGUGAAAUGCGUAGAUAUCUGGAGGAACACCGGUGGCGAAGGCGGCAUCCUGGACCAACACUGACACUGAUGAGCGAAAGCCAGGGGAGCAAACGGG
Molecule: ribosomal RNA, 252 nt
Filed under: uncultured bacterium
Lineage: Bacteria
Description: partial 16S ribosomal RNA
Rfam family: Bacterial small subunit ribosomal RNA
Source: RNAcentral